This 363-nucleotide unclassified non-coding RNA is filed under the name fungal sp. RNAcentral describes it as "partial internal transcribed spacer region". The stretch from base 1 to 46 matches the Rfam family "Eukaryotic small subunit ribosomal RNA", at positions 1786 to 1831 of the family's 1831-position model. Lineage: Eukaryota; Fungi. The record is from RNAcentral.
AAGUCGUAACAAGGUUUCCGUAGGUGAACCUGCGGAAGGAUCAUUAACACAUCCUUUUCAAAUAUAAACAAUGGCGCACUGUAAGAACUGUGAUUAAAAGGAGGCUACUAGGCAACGGUUUGAAUCUCUUCGGAGGUAGGCCUUUUAGUAGACUUAGUCAUUUUAAUUAAUGAUUAACUCACUUCUUUUUCACGGCAUACAGCCUCUUACCUGGCUGGCACUUUUUUUUUUUAACAACUUGAUGUUAGCACUGAUGUUGGCUUUCAGAUUGAGAAGGUUCGCCUUUUCUCUGGUUGCCGUCGAUGGAGAAAUCCAUUGUAAAUUAACAAAACACAACUCUUAACAGCGGAUAUCUCGGUUCUC